UUCACCACAACAUCAGCAUGCUUCGUUCGAAGAUACAGAGACGUGACGCUUUUUCGUUGGGCUAGGAAGGGAAUCUUCUAACCAUCUUCAUUAUUUUGUUUCUCUACAUUCCGGAAGUGGAUGUUGGUAACUUUGUCAUGUGACUUUGUCAUGUGAACGUAAACUAGGUGGAAUGGUUCCACUCGCUAUACCGUAAAAAUUCAUUAAAAUAAAAAUGUGGUUUUAAUUUAAGGUUAGGCAUACGGUUAUCAGUGUGGUUAAGGUUAGGUUUAAAAUAACAUUUUAAGAAGACACAUUGUAGAAAUAGGCGGGGUUUAUGACUGCUUAUUUAUUUAUGUACGUAUGUGUGAUGUGGUUAGGAAACUAGCAACAUAUUAUAAAUGCAAGCAACGCCUCCUUAAUGAACAUGUUGCAAACCAUAAAACAGAUUUACAAAUAAUUUCAAGAAGUGAACAAGAAAAGCAAGGUGUGUGCACUGGCAAUUAUUUUUUUUGUAGCUAGUGUACUUAAUGGUCGUGGUGUCGAGAUAAAGUAGCUGAAUGUUGUCGCGGCAAAGCGAGGAAAGAACGGUGCGUAGUUGCUAGUAAGCGAGCCAACAAAUCUAACGUUUGUUUCAAGACUUACCAAAAUGUCAGAUUCAUACUCUGGUCCAGAGUUUGUGGACUACGAUGAUAUCAGACACGGGGCAAAAUUUCAAACUGGAUGCAGUUUAUCACAGUGCCAUCCGUUUUGUCACUAAAGCACCUUAUACCACCCACCACUGCGACUUGUACGCUCUAGUCGGCUGGCCCUCGCUACAUAUUCGUCGCCAGACCCACUGGCUCCAGGUCAUCUACAAGUCCAUGCUAGGUCCUUUGGGGGGCACCUUCCGGAAGGCCGACAGGCAGAGCUCCGCCAGCUAAGCGAGCUGCCCCGGGGGCCGAGCCGGGCACCAGGUCGGACCAGCCUGGUUCCCAGGCGCAAUGCCUGUCUGCCUGGUACAAGCGCGGCGUUGCUUCCAGGGGCGAAGUGCGAGAUGGUCCUGCCACGGUGCAUGUAGUUCGGUGUGGCACGGCAUUGGGUCCUCCCUUGUCAGCUGCCCCAAACAUCUGUGGUGACAACAGUACUCAGAACUCACAGAUGGCCGAAGCCCCCCCGAACCCAGAGUGGACCAGGAUUCAAACAAACAUUUGCACCGAAAUACAUUGUUUCAACCCCAUUGUUUUCAGGUUUCAGGAGUUUUGUGAGUUCAAUAAAACAUGUCCCUCCACAUUCAGACAAGGUUUUCAAGAGUGGUGGAGGUAAUAAAAAAAAAUCUCCCUGUCAUGCUCCCUCAGAUGGCGGUUACGGGAGACUCGAUGCCUGUUCCAAUCAGUGGUGCGCAUGAGCAGUUUCGCCCUGGAUAAAGAGAAAAUUACGUUGGGGCACAGGCUACAAUUCGUUGUACGCCCCCCAAGUUUUUGCAGUGUCAUCAUGUCGACUGUUCCCCUGGCCUCAGCGCCAGUAUUAAGUGAGAAAAUAUCCUCCCUGCUCCAGAAAUGGGCAAUACGAGUGGUUCCUCUGUCGGAAGCCCAGUACGGCUGGUACAGACGGUAUUUCCUGGUUCUGAACAGGGACGGGGGUUUACGCCCCAUUCUAGACAUGCGUGCCCUGAACAAACGUCUCAGAGUUCGCAAAUUCAAGAUGCUCACAAACCAGCGGCUGUUGCGAUCCGUGCGUCCCGGCAAUUGGUUCAUCACCAUCGACCUAAAGGAUGGUACUUUCACAGAAAGUUCCUGUGAUUCCAUUCCAAGAUGAUAGACACAUUUUUGGUACUCCCAUUCGGCUUGUUCCUCUCACAUUUCAAAGGUGGUGGAAGAAGCUCUGGCACCCUUGAGCGGCCAGGGGCUAAGGGUAUUGGCUGGUAGCAGCAGAGUCUAGGGAAUGAGUAGUGUUACACACAUCCAGGGUGGAGCAGUGCUCUCUUCAGGAGUGGAGACUACACCAGUGGGUGGUUGGCCAGAUAUGGGAGAAAGUCGGCAGGGCAGACGUAGAUCUUUACGCAUCAUGAGAUAACAGUGUCGUUUAUUUUUAAGCCCUCCCAGUUUCUGUUUUGCUAAUUCAGUUCGAGGUAAAGCAAUCUCUAAGCAGCGGUUACCUCAUUGGAUUGUGGAGGCAUAUACAGUGCAUUCAGAAAGUAUUCAGACCCCUACCCUUAUUCCACGUUUUGUUACGUUAUAGAGCUUUGCACACUCUUGGCAUGCUCUCAACCAGCUUCACCUGGAAUGCUUUUCCCACAGUCUUGAAGGAGGUCCCACAAAUACGGUGCACUUGUUGGCUGCUUUUCCUUCAACAGGUGUGUUGGAUCAUUGUCCUGUUGAAAAACAAAUGAUGGUCCCACUAAGCGCAAGCCAGAUGGGAUGGCAUAUCGCUGCAGAAUGCUAUGGUAGCCAUGCUGGUUAAGUGUGUCUUGAAUUCUAAAUAAAUCACUGACAGUGUCACCAGCAAAGCACCCCACACAUCACACCUCAUCUUCCAUGCUUCACAGUGGGAACCACACAUGCAGAAAUAAUCCGUUCACCUAAUCUCCGUCUCACAAAGACACGGUGGUUGGAACCAAGAAUUUCAAAUUUGGACUCAUCAGACCAAAGGACAGAUUUUCACUGGUCUAAUGUCCAUUGCUCGUUUUUUUGACCCAUGCAAGUCUCUUGUUGGUGUCCUUUAAUAGUGGUUUCUUUGUAGUAAUUGCAGUAAUAAGGCCUGAUUCACACAGUCUCCUCUGAACAGUUGAUGUUGAGAUGUCUGUUACUUGAACUCUGUGAAGCCUUUACUUGGCCUGCAAUUUCUGAGGCUGGUAACUCUAAUGAACUUAUCCUCUGCAGCAGAGGUAACUCUGGGUCUUCCUUUCCUGUGGCGGUCCUCAUGAGAGCCAUUUUCAUCAUAGCGCUUGAUGGUUUUUGUAACUGCACUUGAAAAAACUUUAAAAGUUCUUGAAAUGUUCUGUAUUGACUGACCUUCAUGUCUUAAAGUAAUGAUGGACUGUCCUUUACAUUUGCUUAUUUGAGCUGUUCUUGCCAUAAUAUGGACUUGGCAUUUUACCAAAUAGUGCUAUCUUCUGUAUACCACCCCUGUCUUGUCACAACACAACUGAUUGGCUCAAAUGCCUUAAGAAGGAAAUCAAUUCCGCAAAUUAACUUUCAACAAGGCAUAACUGAUAAUUGAAAUGCAUUCCAGGUGACUACCUCAUGAAGCUGGUUGAGAGAAAUCAAGGCAAAGGGUGGCUGCUUGGAAGAAUCUCAAAUAGAAAAAAAUAUAUUUUGAUUUGUUUAACACUUUUUUGGUUACAACAUGAUUACAUAUGUGUUAUUUCAUAGUUCUGAUGUCUUCACUAUUAUUCUACAACGUAGAAAAUAGUAAAAAUAAAGAAAAACCCUUGAAUGAG
Long non-coding RNA from Oncorhynchus nerka (sockeye salmon), 3400 nucleotides. RefSeq lists it as uncharacterized. The record is from RefSeq and is a predicted model, not a curated record. Lineage: Eukaryota; Metazoa; Chordata; Actinopteri; Salmoniformes; Salmonidae. The transcript is spliced from 4 exons.